CCUACGGGUGACAGCAGUGAGGAAUAUUGGUCAAUGGACGAGAGUCUGAACCAGCCAAGUAGCGUGAAGGAUGACUGCCCUAUGGGUUGUAAACUUCUUUUAUAAAGGAAUAAAACGAGGCACGUGUGCCUUUUUGCAUGUACUUUAUGAAUAAGGAUCGGCUAACUCCGUGCCAGCAGCCGCGGUAAUACGGAGGAUCCGAGCGUUAUCCGGAUUUAUUGGGUUUAAAGGGAGCGUAGAUGGGUUGUUAAGUCAGUUGUGAAAGUUUGCGGCUCAACCGUAAAAUUGCAAUUGAUACUGGCAGGCUGGAGUGCAGUUGCGGUAGGCGGAAUGCGUGGUGUAGCGGUGAAAUGCUUAGAUAUCACGAAGAACACCGAUUGCGAAGGCAGCUCACGAAACUGCGAUUGACACUGAUGCUCGAAAGCGUGGGUAUCAAACAGGAUUAGAUACCCUGGUAGUC
This 460-nucleotide ribosomal RNA is filed under the name uncultured bacterium. RNAcentral describes it as "partial 16S ribosomal RNA". It matches the Rfam family "Bacterial small subunit ribosomal RNA", at positions 338 to 795 of the family's 1533-position model. The record is from RNAcentral.